RNA transcript from Dama dama (fallow deer), 8594 nucleotides. It is a transcript of the gene named cytokine receptor like factor 3, with no coding region annotated. The record is from RefSeq and is a predicted model, not a curated record. The transcript is spliced from 9 exons. NCBI's taxonomy places the organism in Eukaryota, Metazoa, Chordata, Mammalia, Artiodactyla, Cervidae.
UGGGACAGUCGGGAACCGCGCCCGCCGCCGCCGGCCGCGCGGCCGGACGAGGGGACGAUGGAGCUGGAGCCCGAGCUGCUGCUGCAGGAGGCCCGCGAGAGCGUGGAGGCGGCGCAGAGCUACCGCCGGGAGCUGAGCCAGAGGCUGCAGGGGCUGCGGGAGGCGCGGAGGCAGAUCAAGGAGAGUGCAUCCCAGACAAGAGAUGUCCUCAAACAGCAUUUUAAUGAUUUAAAGGGAACUCUUGCAAAGCUCCUGGAUGAGCGGUUGGUGACCCUCUUGCAAGAGGUGGACACCAUUGAGCAGGAGACCAUCAAACCACUAGAUGACUGCCAGAAGCUGAUAGAACAUGGAGUUAACACCGCAGAGGACUUAGUCCAAGAAGGUGAGCUCGCCAUUCGGGGAGGUAUAGGAGAACAGAAUGAAAAGCUCUGGAGUUUUACCAAGAAAGCCUCGCACAUCCAGCUGGACAGCCUACCAGAAGUGCCUUUACUGGUCGACGUGCCUUGCUUAUCUGCUCAGUUGGAUGACUCAAUUCUUAACAUAGUGAAAGACCACAUUUUUAAACAUGGAACGGUAGCGUCUCGCCCACCGGUACAGAUAGAAGAACUGAUAGAGAAACCUGGAGGCAUCAUCGUACGAUGGUGUAAGGUGGAUGACGACUUUACUGCCCAAGAUUAUAGGCUCCAGUUCCGUAAAUGUUCUUCCAAUCAUUUUGAGGACGUAUAUGUAGGCUCUGAGACGGAAUUCAUUGUACUGCACAUAGACCCCCACGUUGAUUAUCAGUUCAGAGUCUGCGCCCGAGGAGACGGCCGGCAGGAGUGGAGCCCGUGGAGCGUCCCCCAGAUCGGUCAUUCCACGCUGGUCCCGCAUGAGUGGACAGCUGGCUUUGAGGGGUACAGCCUGAGCAGUCGAAGAAACAUCGCGCUUCGCAAUGACGCCGAGUCGUCCGGCGUGCUCUACUCCAGCGCGCCCACUUACUUCUGCGGGCAGACGUUGACGUUCAGAGUUGAAACUGUGGGACAACCAGACAGAAGAGACAGCAUAGGAGUGUGUGCAGAAAAACAGAAUGGAUAUGACUCCCUGCAGAGGGAUCAAGCAGUAUGCAUUAGUACAAAUGGUGCAGUUUUUGUAAAUGGAAAAGAAAUGACUAAUCAGUUGCCCGCAGUUACUUCUGGGUCCACUGUCACAUUUGACAUUGAAGCUGUGACUCUAGGAUCCACCAAUAAUAACGAAGGCGGAAACUUCAAGCUUCGAGUGACUAUUAGCUCAAAUAACAGAGAAGUGGUGUUUGAUUGGUUACUCGAUCAGUCUUGUGGUUCUCUUUACUUUGGAUGCUCAUUUUUCUAUCCUGGGUGGAAAGUGUUGGUGUUCUAGGUUUUCCGAUGAUUGGCUUUGGGUAUGCAGGGGUUUCACAUAGCUUUCCUCUCAGCCCAGUUGUCAUUGGUUUAAAGAAUGGUUAGAUUCAUCUCUCAGUUAAGCCAUUGGAAACAGAAAUUAUUUACAGGAUUUCUUUUGGACUAUCUCAGCAAUAAGAGGCGUGAAUAUGGUGGACGAAACCAUUGCAAUGCAGUCCAUUUUAUUUUGUAGUAUAGUGUUAAUUGGAAUAUGACAUCACCAUAAAAAUCAAAUUGGCUUUUAAAGUAUGAGGAGAUACAGAAAGCCUUAUGAAACCCUUCCAGUGUACUUCUAAAGUUGGUUGUAAGAACAGAAAAAUGCAACAUAACAUCAUUUUUUACUAAGUCUCCAUCUUUUAAAGAUCCAAGGCCAUUUAAGACUUUAGAAUGAAAAGCCAGGAAUAGACCAGGUAGAAUAUGCCAUAAUGUGCGCUGUAACGUACACUCUCUUGUGUGUUCCCCACAGGAGUGUUGAAUAUGCUCUUCAUCUUCAGGGAUUUGUAAGCAGUAUUGAAUUUUAUCUCAUGUUCAGUAAUCUUUAAGUCCCAAAAGUGUGAUAAGUUUUAAAAAUUACUGAGCAAAUGUCUACAACAGGCAAAGUGUUUUCUUUUGUUCUUUCCUUGCAGUCCCAUUCCCAAUAGGUUUGAGGGGCUUUACAGGGUAAAACUACUUACAGAAGUAGUAUGCACAGCAGUGUUAUUAAUAGCUAUGUCCCAUGUAUGAAAUAUGCACCAGUGCACAUCCAGCCUCAGUGACUUGCGUGUCGCUCUUGGUAGGGUCUGAGUUGCAGUCCAGUUCAUGAAUUGGUCUUUUAGUGGACCAAACAAGUGUAGGCUAAAUACUUGACCUAUUUUUUGGGAAACAAAUUUGUUUAAAAUAUUUAUUUGAAGGACUUGGAUGUAAACAUGAUUAUCUUAACUUGCUAUUUACCAGCCUAAGAUCUUUUCUCUUUAAUGUGAAUUUUUUUUUUUCCAUUUUUAAGAGUAGAAAAGUGGAAAAGCAAGUUUGAUAUUUUUGUAAGAUAAUUUAUUGGGGGAUUCCAGUUCCCUAUUAGACAAUCAUGACCUUUUCCCGUUGCCUUUUUAUAUAAGUAAGCUGUUUUUUACUUGUUUAGUGAUUAAGAAGAUGUGCUAGAAUGUAGAUGCCUCGUCCAGCUAUCUGAAACAAAAAUAAAAAAGUAAAAGGUUCAGAACUUUUCACACGUGUGUGAAUCAACCAGUGCCAGAACGGACAGUUUGUUCAGCUCUAAUCGGUGUCCUGUGUCUUUCUCUCUCUUGGAUUAUUCCUUAACCUUAGUGGAGCACUUCCUUCAUUUGCUGUGAAAGGGUGCCCAAGAGGUAAAUUUUUUGAGAUAGAAAGCUGAAAAUCUCUUUAUUCAAUCCUACCUUUGACUGUGACUCAUUAAGAAUUCUAGGUUGGCGAUCAUUCCCUCUCAGAAUUUGAAUGCACCGUUCUGUGGUCUCCCAGGAAAACUAAUGCCUUCCUGAUGCCUGUUCAUUUGUAUGUUGUAUGUUUUUCCUCUUUGGAAGACUAUAGUCCUCCUCUUUGGAAGACUCUUUAUUCCAGCGGUCCCCUACCUUUUUGGCAUCAGGGACUGGUUUCAUGGAAAACAAUUUUUCACGGACUGUCGGGAGCAGUGGUUUUGGGAUGAUUUAAGCAUGUUAUAUUUUUUGUGCACUUUAUUUCUAUUAUUCCACCAGCUGCACCUCAGAUCAUCAUGUAUUAGGUCCCAGAGGCUGGGGACCCCUGCUCUGUUGUCUUCCUAGUUUGUUUUUGGUAUAACACUCAGCUAUGUAGCUCAUUUGACAGCUGAGCCUGUAGGGAUAUGAGUUUCUAAUACCCGCUUUAAACCCACUAGAUUAUAAAUUCCUUGAGUUUUUGUAUUUUCUAUAGCAAGUUAUUCUCAACCCUGGCCUCACAUUAGAAUUUCCUGGAGAGCUUUUAAAAAUAGCAGAAAUUCUGAUUCAAUUGGUAUUAGUGGAGCUCACUUUUUUUUUUAAGAAAUGAAAUUAAUUAUUAUGAAGGCAGGUUUGGGAGUAACCACUCCAAAGUAACUAAAAGUACAGUCUCCAUGGUGAUUUUUUUUGGUAAAUCUAAAUUUGUUCUCUUUGGAAGACUAUUCUUUAUUCUGAAAUUUAAGUUUCUUGCUCUUUCUAUACUGUGUCCUUCUGUAAAAUUAAAGUGACAGUAGACAUCAGGUUUGCUGGGUUUGUUUGUAAAUCCUAUCUGACAAAAUGUCAAAAAGUUUUUGAAUAUUUAUUACUGGUCUAUGAAAUCCAAAGUCUGGGAUGUACUUCCUACCCAACAUUUCCUGAUAUGUGGGUAUCUGAUAAGUACUUAUGAACUAAGAACAGUACUUUUCUUAUAAGACAAAAAACCAUAUUCAGCAAAAUAAAACUAAUCUCUCACAAAAGCCUUUCUUUCAUGGAAUUUAAUGUUGAUUAAAUGAAAAGUGACCUGUCACUUCAUUAGUCUUACCUAAGGCAGUGUUAGAAAGCUUGCAGUUUUGUAGAGAAUUAAGACUUUGUUAAUGUAAUCUCAGGAGACUUCUCCAGGAUCUUAAAAUAUAUAGCUUGUGAAAGGAGCAAGCAUGUUAUUUUUCCUUAGAGGUGGGAGCUGAGGAUUGAUGUUGACAAAACUGUAAGGUUGUAGGGAAGGAAAUAGUGAUAGAUGUUAACCAAGAGCAGAUUACUGUCCAGAUCCCCUGUUGAAGGAGGCACUUUUUUUGUCUAUUGCCAUAGUUAUUUUAAAUGUAUUUUUAAUUGGAGGAUAAUUGCUUUCCAAUAUUGUGUUGGUUUCUGCCAUAGAUCAGCAUGAAUCAGCCGUGGGUAUACGUAUGUCCCCUCCCUCUUGAAUCCCUCCCUCCCACCUCCCAUCCUAUUGAAGCAGGGAUUUUGAUCCCAUUUUACAUUUGAAGAAACAAACUCAGUGUGGUCAAGUAAUUGAGUUUUGGAGCUGCAAAGGCCCUGGAGUUGGCAUUCAAAUCCAGGCCUGCGGACUCUCAGUGCUUCUGCCAUGCUCCUCUGUGUCCACACUGCCUUAUGUCCCUGGGGCACCAAUUUGAGAUAAGACAUUUAGCUUACUAUCUUGGCUUACUAAAACAUGAACAAAUGUCACCCUCUCUGGCAUUCAUGAGGGUCUGCCUUCUUCAUCUUUGUAGCCUCACACUUAACUAAGGCAAAGGCCAUUAUAGGUGCCCAAGAAGUAUUUAAGGAAUAAAGAAGGCUCCGUGAGCCUAACUAAUGGCAUGGCAACCAUGGUCCUUUCCCUUCAGGGCCUCACAGAAGAGCCAGCUCCCUGCUUCCCAAAUAAGAGAAGUAGGGGUCAUUUGGACAGAAUCCACUCAGAAGAAAAUCUUAGUUGAAUUAGUGAAGAAAGGAGCUAAGAUUUGUUGGAUUCCUGUUACAUUCUAGGCUCUUGUUCUAGGUGAUUCAUACAUUUGUCUCAAAAUAGAAAAAAGCUUUCAUUCUGUGACCUGUGUAGCUUCAUCGCUGCUUCUCUGGAGUAAUGAGCAAUAAGUCUAGCAAAGAGAUGCAUGCUCGUUUAGGGAUAGGAGAAAGAAGUGACUUUAGUUUUGAUCCAUGAGAACUGGGAGAAUCCCUGAAACAUGAGUCUUACUCAACUCAUUCCCAGUGCUUGGGACAAGUCCCAGCACACAUCCACAGACAAAUUACAGGACAACUGGAGUGGGAGUGUGCUAGCAGAGCAGGUGGAAGCUAUUUGGGUUCUGAAAAAGGAUGGAGUAACAUGGACAGAAAUAUGAUUCCAGGAGAUGGUGCACCUGUAGGUGACCACUGGUUGAAGCUUUGCCAUGUGGGUGGAUAGGAUAGUAGUCAGAAAUGGGAAAAGACAACAGAUUAAAUACAGUAGUUUAGGAGAUACACACUCUGUUCUCUAAAACCAGCUUUAUAAUGUGAUUCAUCCAUGUGACAUUUAAAUAACAAUCUUGUCUUAUACUUGAGUGAAUUUUUACUUCUGUAUAAAAACCAAUCUUACACUUGUACAAAUAGUACAUAGAAACGGAAGGUGCUCCAGAAAUUGGAUUGUAGACUGUGUAUGGAGAACACCAGGGUGCAUGGUGUGUACCAUGCUGUACUCUGAUACCCUACCUGGUUGGAGGGGAGACUGCAUACAUGAGAGAGUAAGACUGAAAAGAUAGUGAAUUCCAAUCAGGGAGGAAAAGUGUAUGAUUUUUCUGCUGUCAACAACUCAGUUCAGUUGUUCAGUUGUGACCCCAUGAAAUGCAGCACACCGGGCUUCCCUGUCCAUCACCAACUCCUGGAGUUUACUCAAACUCAUGUUUCCAUCACAUCGGUGAUGCCAUCCAACCAUCUCAUCCUCUGUCGUCCCCUUCUCCUCCAGCCUUCAAUCUUUCCCAGCAUCAGGGUCUUUUCCAGUGAGUCAGUUCUUCACAAUCAGGUGGUCAAAAUAUUGUUUAGCUUCAGCAUCAGUCCUUCCAAUGAAUAUUCAGGCCUGAUCUCCUUUAGGAUGGACCAGUUGGAUCUCCUUGCAGUUCAAGGGACUCUCAAGAGUCUUCUCCAACACCACAGUCCAAAAGCAUCCAUUCUUCAGCUCUCAGCUUUCUUUAUAGUCCAACUUUCACAUCCGUACAUGACUACUGGAAAAAGCAUGCUUUGACUAGACAGACCUUUGUUGGUAAAUGAUGUCUCUGCUUUUUAAUAUGCUGUCUAGUUGGCCCUAACUUUUCUUCCAAGGAGCAAGUGUCUUUUCAUUUCAUGGCUGCAGUCACCAUCUGCAGUGAUUUUGGAGCCCCCCCCAAAUUAAAGUUGUUUCCCCAUCUAUUUGCCAUGAAGUGAUAGGACCAGAUGCCAUGAUCUCAGUUUUCUGAAUGUUGAGUUUUAAGCCAACUUUUUCACUCUCCUCUUUCAUCAAGAGGCUCUUUAAUUCUUCACUUUCUGCCAUAAGGGUGGUGUCAUCUGUGUAUCUGAGGUUAUUGACAUUUCUCCUGGCAAUCUUGAAUCCAGCCUAUGCUUCAUCCAGCUCAGCAUUUUGCAUGAUGUACUCUGCAUGUAAGUUAAAUAAGCAGGGUGACAAUAUACAGUCUUGACAUACUCCUUUCCCCAUCUGGAACCAAUCUGUUGUUCCAUGUCCAGUUCUGUUACUUGUUGACCUGCAUACAGAUUUCUCAGGAGGCAGGUCAGGUGGUCUGGUAUUCCUGUCUCUUUAAGAAUUUUCCAGUUUGUUGUGAUCUACAGCCAACAACUGGGACCCAUCAAUGGUCCAUUUUAAUAUGGUACUGGUAUAGUUAAUAAAACAUGUAUCUCUGCUUUCCUUGGAGCAACAUACUAUUUAGAUUAACAAAAAAUACAAAUACAGUGUUCAGACUAUUUUUUACAGCGCCUGUUUUACUUAAUACCAAUUGACUGUGUUCCAUAUCUUUGUUAACUUAUCCAUUAUACCUGGUUCUCAGUAAGAAACCAUCCCUCUUCCUGUUUUUUUCUAGUUUUUAAAAUAUAAGAACUACAGAAAACAGGCAGUACAUUUAAAAACUGCAGUGAACAGCCUCCUUCCUACCUGUCCUUUCACCCAGCCAUCUUCCCUGACAGCAGUUGCUUUUGUGUAUCCAUUUUGUCAUCUUCUUCAACCAAGCAAAUAUUGGUUACAUAUUCUUUAAAAAUUUUGUUUAAAAUGAAAGUAUUCUAGAAACUUCUGUACCUUUCUAAUCUGCUCAACAGUGGUCACAGUUUGUCAAUUUACAUGUGCCCCAGUUUAUCUGUCGGAUUAAAUUCCUGAAGAUGAAAUUGUUGGGGCAAAGGUUAAACGCAUUAUGAUUUUAAUGGAAAGUACCAAAUUACUCUCUGUAGAGGUUGUACUAACUUAUUUCCCCACCAGAAAUGUCAUGAGUACCCACUUCGCCGUUUUUUACCCAACAGUAUUAUCAGCAGUCUUUCAUCUUUAGCAAGCUGAAUCCACCUGUGUUCCUGAUCUCCUUUCCUUUUCUGGUCAUGUGUAUCUUUGGUCUUCUCUGUGUCUUCCAUAGUCUGCAGGCUCGACCUUCCUAUCCACUCUCCCCAGUCUCUCUGCCUGUUUUCCUCUUUCAAUGGCCCCAUUUCCCGCAUAUUCAUGAUAAAACUUUUCCGACUCAUUUUCCAUUUAUUAACAUUAAACUCCUCAAACCUGUUUUCUGUUACUUUACCCUUGAAGUUGCUGUCUUAAACUCAUUUUCUGUUACAGGACGGCUUCCUUUAUGAAACUCUUCUUCCUUGGCUUUGUCACUGCUGAUUAAUUUUUUCAUACUGAAACACCAUGAUUUCUUCUUGGGCACUUAUUUCACAAUGGGCAGAGUUCUAUUAUUUAGUCGGGUAUCUCACCUGGAGGACUCCCGCAGCAUCCCUGUGCUUCUCCCUGUGGAAAGCUUCUCCCCUCCCAGAUUCUUGGAACCACAGCUCACCUAUGACACAGACUGGUUUGUGUCAUGUCUGUGCAGUAAAUCUCCAAAUACUUCUUAUUGCCUGAAAUCCAAAUGCUUAGUUAGCAUGGCAUAUAAGGCUUUCAGUUUAUGUAACAAAUAUAUGAACACCAAAGAAGACCAUGAGUCACUAGUAAGGCCAGUGAGACUGACUCAGGAGUCUAAUGAAAAGGAAGCAGGUGUUUAAAGAAACAGAGUGAGCUUUGGAACCAGAGGCUCUCAGCUCAAAGCACAUACAUGUGUACAGGCAAGCUAUUUCCUGUAAAUAAACCAAGCACAGUGGAACCGUCAACACUUCAGGAACAUUUUCUUCAAUUCUUCUAAAUUAAUUUCAACUACUGACCUCACAGAAUAUAUUAUUUUAUUAUAUAAUUAUUAUUUGUGUCUCACUAUAUGGUUUUUUGAAAGCCAACAUAAAUUCCUUUUCAUUCAAAAGAAAAUGAAAAAACCAAAGGUGAAUCAGCCUUAGGGCAAUUAAUAUUGACAUUACCCUAGACUAUAAAUUUUAAAAUAUCUUUUAUGUGACAGUAUAACAUACUAGUUGCAACUGUUAUUACUAGAACUAAAAGCAGGAUUUCACAUCUUCUCAACUUAUUUGCUCUGAUGGAUAUACUUUUUUGGAUAUUUCCUAUCCUAGCCAAGCCAAAAUUUUUUUGUGUGUAUUAACAAUGCAUAAUGUAAGAAAAAAACAAAACAAUGCAUCUUUUAUAUUAUUGAACUUUAUGUACAAAAUCAUUUGAUUUCAAAUAAACAUUUAAUGUAAAAACAAA